Molecule: non-coding RNA, 1253 nt
Organism: Triticum urartu
Lineage: Eukaryota; Viridiplantae; Streptophyta; Magnoliopsida; Poales; Poaceae
Source: RefSeq, a predicted model, not a curated record
CUUCCUCUCCUUCCGGGUCCUCACUUCCCCGAUUGCCGAUUGGGCGAAACCCUAGCCACCACUCCCCGUCGCGCCCCUCUCCUCCACUCCCCAUCGCGCCCCCUCUCCUCCAAUCCCCGCAGCCGACGACGAGGUCUCGCCCUUCGCCGAGCUUGCCACCACCGCUGCUCUCCCCUCGCCAUCGCCGGGAGGAGUGUGUAGGCCGCCGCUCGCGUCGUUUCUCCGCAGCCGCCACCGCCCCCUUCCCUUCCAAGCCCGCGGAGAUGACGGCGCCGGCGCUGGCGCUCGCGGUGGUCGGGUACUGGGACUGAGUCGCCGCCGCCACAUCAUCUUCUCCUCCUCCCGACACCGCAUGAGUGCGGGUCGCCGUCGCAUCAGAUGAGGUGGGGCUACAACCACGCCCCCUUCACCUCUUCUACCCAGCCGUGCCACUCGGGACGACAAGAUCCAGCCAUGGCGGCCGAGAUCCAGUUGGCUGCCAUCUGCCAUCGAUAUGAGGAGCGCUCGCGCCGCUGCUCCGCCGUUCGUCGUCCACUUGGCCGCAACCAUGCACAAGAAGAGGUGAUGUCACGGCAGCAGGGUCCUCACCUGUCUCCGCUCCCUCGUCUCCCCCUUCUGCUGGCAAGGGUGCUGAGCAGCAACAGUUCCAUCUCCCUCCCCAACGCGUCAUUGCCUCAUCUUGAGCUGCAGUGAACCAGAGCCCAGAGAAAGAGAUUUGAUGUGAUGAUUGAGGUAGAAGGCAUGGAUUGUUUGGGGCUUCUCUGAAAUAAGCGUCUCUAAUGCAGGAAAACAACAUGAAUGAGCUUAAGAGAUUUAAUGAAGAGAUGAAUACAGUCGGAGCCUGGGAUUUUUAUACACAGAGAUGGUGCAUAAAUAAGCAAAACAAAAAAUGCGCCAAUGCUUUGCCAGAAUUUCGUUGGUCCUCUCAAAAUUGUGGGGAAACCAAGAUUGAAUUUAGAGAUGUUUCAUAUGCUUGGUCGUUGACACACCUCUCUUCAAGGCAAGGUCAUUUCCAAGGUGAUUACAGCGCUAGGACCUGCCCCUGAUAAGAACCAGGGCACCCGUUUAAACAGAAUGAUGACUGUGUGAGGCUUAAAAUAUCGCCAUCAUAGCAGGGGUGAUGCUGUCACUUCCAUGGUCCACCAGAAUGAAGAUCGCACUCAGUGCUGCAAGGGGGCUUGCCUUCCUGCAUGAAGCUGAGAAGCCAGUUGUCUACAUGGAUUCAAGACAUCCAACAUAUUGCUCGACGGGGU